GAUGAACGCUGGCGGCGUGCCUAAUACAUGCAAGUCGAGCGAACGGACGAGAAGCUUGCUUCUCUGAUGUUAGCGGCGGACGGGUGAGUAACACGUGGAUAACCUACCUAUAAGACUGGGAUAAUUUCGGGAAACCGGAGCUAAUACCGGAUAAUAUUUUGAACCGCAUGGUUCAAAAGUGAAAGACGGUCUUGCUGUCACUUAUAGAUGGAUCCGCGCUGCAUUAGCUAGUUGGUAAGGUAACGGCUUACCAAGGCAACGAUGCAUAGCCGACCUGAGAGGGUGAUCGGCCACACUGGAACUGAGACACGGUCCAGACUCCUACGGGAGGCAGCAGUCGGGAAUCUUCCGCAAUGGGCGAAAGCCUGACGGAGCAACGCCGCGUGAGUGAUGAAGGUCUUCGGAUCGUAAAACUCUGUUAUUAGGGAAGAACAUAUGUGUAAGUAACUGUGCACAUCUUGACGGUACCUAAUCAGAAAGCCACGGCUAACUACGUG
Molecule: ribosomal RNA, 497 nt
Filed under: uncultured bacterium
Lineage: Bacteria
Description: partial 16S ribosomal RNA
Rfam family: Bacterial small subunit ribosomal RNA
Source: RNAcentral